Long non-coding RNA from Rhagoletis pomonella (apple maggot), 977 nucleotides. RefSeq lists it as uncharacterized. NCBI's taxonomy places the organism in Eukaryota, Metazoa, Arthropoda, Insecta, Diptera, Tephritidae. The transcript is spliced from 4 exons. The record is from RefSeq and is a predicted model, not a curated record.
UAUUUCUGACUAGUCCGGACUCGUACGGGAUCGCAACUAUAAUUUAACUAAGCGCUUUAGUUAUAUUAGCAAUGGAGCAAAAGAUACGGAACAGGGGGGGGAUAAUUGGACUGCGGACUGUGGAUAUAAAAUAUAAUUCAUUGUGUUUAAAUAAUUUUUAAGGUUUUGCUUCAAGAAUUAGUUCGUGAACGGGUGAAAAUUAUUGAAAAUAAGAACACGGAUACAAACUCAAAUAAGGCGAAACAAGAGGCCUAGAGAGACUUACAAGAGAGCUUCAGUGAGAUAUGUGCAACUAAGCGAACUGUGAUCCAAUUGAAAUCAGAGUGGACUAUUGUGAAAAUGACGGCAAAAAAAGCGAAGUCGAAAGAGAGGCGUGAACUUUUGAAAACUGGCGGUGGGGCGCAUACUGUUGCUGAACCAUUAUCAAACGAAGACAUCUCCGUUUGGCAGCCAAAUGAGUUUGUUGUCAACUUCAAUUCAUUUCAAAUCAGCAGGUUGUAGUAUUGGAAGAAUCCUUGCCCAUACAAAAUAGCGCCGAAUUGGAGGGAUGCGAAAAAAGUAAUAUCGAAGCAGACGCAGUGGAGGUAAUGCAGGAAGCAGACAUCGUUGGCUCUAGCCAAGAUAAUGUUGAAAAUAUAAAGACACCAUCUCUUAAUACUAGUAGGGCAACUAAAAAGCGUAAGCAGGAACGAUUUAUUCACAUUGAAUUGGCGAUAAGGCUGAACCAUAUACUAGCAUGUGUAUAAGGAGUAACAGCUAGUGACUAAAGGUUGACAUUAGAAUAAAGCACCGUGCUCUUUAUUACCCAAGCUAAAGCAUUGAUGAGACUUGAUGGGAAUUUUGGAAUUACAUAGUAUUUAAAUAGCACCUGCAUACAUUCGCAAUCAUAUGUGUGUACCAUGUGAAUGGCACAUUGUACCAAAGUCUAAAUAUCGAUUAUGUUGUUGUUGUUGUAGCGGCUACAACAACCCCGCCCA